This is a long non-coding RNA of Seriola aureovittata, 387 nucleotides long. RefSeq lists it as uncharacterized. Lineage: Eukaryota; Metazoa; Chordata; Actinopteri; Carangiformes; Carangidae. The record is from RefSeq and is a predicted model, not a curated record. The transcript has 3 exons.
AGUACCAACAUCCAAGCAACCGGCAGCUUUAGUUAUGAAGUAAAAAGGAGAGCUAAUAGGCUGCAGUUCGUCAGAGGUACAGUGACAGCAGUAGCAGAGCUGGCCAGGAAGCCGGAGUUUCAGGAUUUAAUAACCCCGAAGUUUGCCAAAACAAAGGAGAAAGAACUUCUAAAAAGUCUCCCUCCACAACACAGGGAUGAGUGAUGCUGUCUCUGCCUCGUCUUUGACUGGCAGAAUAAACGCAGUUACCACAACAGCAAUGCUGGGAGACAAACUACAAGCAACAACAGAGUCAGGAGCUAUGAUUUACUCACCGGUGACAUCAUGGAGACCACAGCUAUUUUUAUUGGAUGGUAAACGGCCAGCUCUUCUCCAUGCUAUGCCACC